GGUUAUACGAGAGGCCUAAGUUGACAGACAGCGGCGUAAAGAGUGGUUAAGGAAAACACAAAACUAAAGCCGAACGCCUUCAGAACUGUUAUACGUYUUCGAAGGUAUGAAGCCCAACCACGAAAGUGGCUCUACUUCRCCUGAACCCACGAAAGCUAAGGAACAAACUGGGAUUAGAUACCCC
Molecule: ribosomal RNA, 184 nt
Filed under: Seriola rivoliana (Almaco jack)
Lineage: Eukaryota; Metazoa; Chordata; Actinopteri; Carangiformes; Carangidae
Description: partial small subunit ribosomal RNA
Source: RNAcentral